This is a long non-coding RNA of Spinacia oleracea (spinach), 783 nucleotides long. RefSeq lists it as uncharacterized. The transcript has 4 exons. NCBI's taxonomy places the organism in Eukaryota, Viridiplantae, Streptophyta, Magnoliopsida, Caryophyllales, Amaranthaceae. The record is from RefSeq and is a predicted model, not a curated record.
AGGUUUAACUAAAACAUGUUGCAAAGGAGCCUUGUGUAGUGACAAAAUGAAGAGCAACUUUAACCAUUUGAGGUUCCUCUACUGUGUUUUCUUGGGAGCUAAGGUGGCCACAACAGUCAAUUGUUCUCUUUGGAGUUGGGAUUGGCGAGAGACCAUCCAAUCAAAUUUCAGAAAGUGAAGUAUAGGAGGUGCAGUCUGACUGUCAUUUGCAGUCAUAAAAAACUGGCAGUAUGUCUUCGUGGAUGAUACAUGUUAUGAUGUGCUCAGUAGAUGGAAUUUUUGCAGUCCUUGAGCUAGGUGCAGAAACAUUUGUACUAUUGGAAGAACCCUUUGCCAUCAACAGCUUUGACAUUAACAAGCAGAAUCACUAUGAAAUUACAUAUUUAUAUGCAGUUUGGAAUGGGAAUCGUUGGCUAUACUUUGAAGGUUGUAAAGCACUGUAAUCACAGCCGAGUUUUGUUACAAUUAUUAUGUAGCUUUAAAUACCAAUAUGCCGUAAUAUGUAAGAUUGUAUUCUACAAGCUAGACUGAUGUCCAUUUGUUUGGGUCUGUUUAACUGUAUACGUGACAGUUCAUGACAAGUUCAUAUAGACUAAUCAAUAGGCUCUCAGCUCAAGGAGUGUAUUACUGAAGUUUUUCCACGUAGCUCAGCUGUUAUGAAAGUUGAGAAGAUUGAUAUUGGUUUGCUCAAUAUUGUGAGCUAAGAAGUGACUUGGCGAAUCUCUUUUUUAAUCAAAUAUUGCUCUUGGUUCCCUUUUUCGUAAUUUUAAGCACAGGGGAGAG